CCUACGGGGGGCAGCAGUGGGGAAUAUUGCGCAAUGGGCGAAAGCCUGACGCAGCGACGCCGCGUGCGGGAUGAAGGUCUUCGGAUCGUAAACCUCUGUCAGCAGGGAAGAACGGUCACUGUGCUAAUCAGCAGUGAAUUGACGGUACCUGCAAAGGAAGCCCCGGCGAACUCCGUGACAGCAGCCGCGGUAAUACGGAGGGUGCGAGCGUUAAUCGGAAUUACUGGGCGUAAAGCGAUCGUAGGCGGUAUGUCAAGUCAAGGGUGAAAUCCCCGCGCUCAACGUGGGAACUGCGUUUGAAACUGGCAAACUGGAGUGUGUGAGAGGAUAGUGGAAUUCCAGGUGUAGGAGUGAAAUCCGUAGAUAUCUGGAGGAACAUCAGUGGCGAAGGCGACUAUCUGGCACAUAACUGACGCUGAGGAGCGAAAGCGUGGGUAGCAAACAGGAUUAGAUACCCCAGUAGUC
This 465-nucleotide ribosomal RNA is filed under the name uncultured bacterium. Its description in RNAcentral is "partial 16S ribosomal RNA". It matches the Rfam family "Bacterial small subunit ribosomal RNA", at positions 338 to 795 of the family's 1533-position model. The record is from RNAcentral.